AGUUGUUAUCUGCAUGAAAGCCAUAUGUGUUGCCCGACACGUAAUGGUUCAUUGUAAGGGCCACCUCAUGUUCAUAAUUUGCAUUUUCUGCAUCAUUAAUAAAUGGAUAUUUUUCAGUCAAAAAGCGGUGUUCCCUGUUUUUCAUUUAUUUUUGCAGUUUAAAAACAAAUAAAAAUGGCAAUGUUUAUUUUCAUUUUUUCUCCUUUUU
Molecule: long non-coding RNA, 208 nt
Filed under: Lathyrus oleraceus (garden pea)
Lineage: Eukaryota; Viridiplantae; Streptophyta; Magnoliopsida; Fabales; Fabaceae
Description: Pisum sativum (pea) long non-coding RNA (PSAT_LNC040387)
Source: RNAcentral